This 2315-nucleotide long non-coding RNA is filed under the name Citrus x clementina. RNAcentral's name for it is "Citrus clementina (C. clementina) long non-coding RNA (CCLE_LNC001976)". The record is from RNAcentral. Lineage: Eukaryota; Viridiplantae; Streptophyta; Magnoliopsida; Sapindales; Rutaceae.
UAAGUAUUUAAUUUAUGAGAAAUUUUGAGAAAUAAAAAUUUCAAGACAUACUAAAUAAUUUCUUAAAGAAAAUUUUCUAACGUUUGGUCCCGUAUGAGAUUUUCUUUUCAUGCAAUUUACUAUAAAAUAUCUUGACAGAUGGGAUGUCACUGAUAUCAAAAAUAAUAUAUCCAAAAGAAUAGAUAAAUAAAUAAAUAAAAUAACAUAAAAUUUUUCUCUCUUAACCAAAAUAUCAUUUUUCCUUAGUUUUUAAAACAAUAUCCUUCUAAUCCAAUCAAAUGCUCACUCGUCUCUUGAGGUAAUCUUGCAUUAAUGAACAAGUUUUGAUUUAAACAUUUCAUCACAAGAUAAGAAAAACAAAACAAUUAUUUACUCAAACUCCUUGACAACGUCUUCAAAGUUCUAAUAAAAAUGAACGUAAAGUUUUAAGAUUUUUGGGUCAUUUUGUAGGUGACGUGGGUUGAUCCUAAAGAAUUAAAUGUUAAUACGAAAUGUUGAAGAAGAUCUUUUGUCUUUAUAUAUAUCUUUGAAGGGAAAAGACUUAUGUGGAACUGUCUGCUUAGUUGAUGAGACAGUCUAAUGGUAUUCUAUCAUAUAUAAGAGCAGAGGAUCCUCAUAUAAGAUCUAGUGAUAUAUUAAUACUAUAUUUAAUAAGUCCUACUCAAGAAUUUAUUGUAAUUUCAUAAUAAAAUUCAUCGCUCAGUGACAUAAUAAAUUAAGAUAUCUCACUCUUUUUAUUAUUAUAAAAAGGCUCACGAAGAGUUAAGGCAACACUAACUGGGACUGUCAUUAGCGACCGAAGCUGCGGCGAUCGGUGGUGAAAGAUGUCUCACUCUUUCAGCAUAUUGAGAUGAGAAGAAUUCGUUUUUAAAGGAAUAGAGGUAAAAACGUUUUUUUUUUAUUUGAUUAAUCUAAUUGUUUUGCUAAACAUUAACUUUUGUGUUUAAUAUUUGUUGUUUUUUUUUUCUUUCUUUUUUUUUUGUUUUUUUUUCUUUUGGCCCAAUUGAAAGCUUCACAUGAUAAGAUGGUAUCUUCAAACAAAUAAUUGCUUCUUGGCAUGUAACAUCAUCGAACACAACAUCAGCAGGACCUCAACCUUGGGGUCCGUAGGUUGAACUACAGUGAUUCUCACGUAUAGUCGUAUAAUUUAUUUUUUAGUUAUGCUAUUUAUCCCGGGUCAAACCCCGAAAGUAAUUGAAGCAACGUCGUUUCCUUUUUUUUCGUUUUUGUUCUCGAUAAAACGAUGUUUGGUUUAAUUAGCAUCAGCUCCAAUUGUUCUCUCUUCAUCUUCAUUUCAGAACCAAUCCCAAGCACUGUAAAACCCUUUCAUCUUGAGAUUCUUCACCAUUUUGACUCUUCUUGAAUAGUUUCAAAAGGGAAAAAAGAGAAGAAAAAAAAAGGGUCAUGUCACAUUAGAGAGCAACUUUGUGCUAUACAUUCUUCAACCCGAGCCGAGGAAAAGCACUUCUUAGAUUUAGAUCCAUAUACAUUUAUUCACAUUACCAGCAACGUGUCAUUGGAUUUUCACAUGCACACAUGCAUCUUCUUCUUUGCAAAAUGAAAAGCACUUCAUUUCUCUCAGCAAAAACACUUCUUAGUUCGUUCUCAUAUGCUUAGAUUACAAGUUUAAUUACUGCAAUUUCAGGCUGUUGUGAGACGAAGAGAAAAUGAAGAGAGAAAGCAAUUUUGAGUUGUUGUUGAUUUUGUUUUAACCAAGCUGAAACGAAGGGGAACAGAAACAGAGAAAUAGGAGGGGCUGUGAGACAAAGAAAGAGAAAGCAAUUUGUUGAGACGAACAGAAUGAAGUGAAGGAGUAGGGUUGUUGUUGAUUUUUUUUCCUUAAAACGACGUCGUUUUAGGGAGAAUGAAAUAAAAAAAAAAGAAUUAAAACGACGUCGUUUGUUGUUUUCGGGGUUUGACCCGAGGCUUGACUCGGGGUAAGUAGCAUUUUCCUUUAUUUUUUGAAGCUGUCGAAAGAAGAGAGAAUAUGGGCUGUCGUGAAAUUCAGAAUUCCUAUUUUUAAGAUUUUGGGUAUCAGAUUGCUAUUGACAAUUUCUUUCCUAUUUUUAAAAUUCUCAUUAGAUUCCCCCCCCCCCAAACAAAAAAAAUCAGGUUUAACUGUUUAAGUGUCGUUUCUGUAUUUUAUUUUAUUUUGAUAAUUGAAUUUGACCUAUUGUAAUAAACUUUGAAGAAAUGGUGUAGCAGCUCUAGAUAUGAGACGAUUGAUUAUUAUUAGGAAAAUUAUCAUUGUACCACUUUUAUUUUGUUUUAUGUUCAUCCAACCACUACAAAAUUUUAAUAUGUAUUUUGCACCA